UUUCCGUAGGUGAACCUGCGGAAGGAUCAUUAGUGAAAUCCAAAUGGUUGGUGUUCCAGCAUCUCACGAGCUGGACCCUUCCGUCCUCACAUACACCUUUGUCGAACUGUCGGGAGUUGGUUCUGCCUUCUCUCACCUUUCAAACUCUUAAGUUUUUGAAUGAAGUCUUGGUGAAAACCAAAAACACAACUUUCAACAACGGAUCUCUUGGCUCUCGCAUCGAUGAAGAACGCAGC
RNAcentral lists this unclassified non-coding RNA (236 nucleotides) under uncultured fungus. RNAcentral describes it as "sequence contains ITS1, 5.8S rRNA gene". The stretch from base 188 to 236 matches the Rfam family "5.8S ribosomal RNA", at positions 1 to 49 of the family's 154-position model. The record is from RNAcentral. Lineage: Eukaryota; Fungi.